Molecule: small nuclear RNA, 180 nt
Filed under: Zalophus californianus (California sea lion)
Lineage: Eukaryota; Metazoa; Chordata; Mammalia; Carnivora; Otariidae
Description: U4 spliceosomal RNA (ENSZCAG00015015362.1)
Rfam family: U4 spliceosomal RNA (bases 1-69)
Source: RNAcentral
AGCUUUGUGCAGUGGCAGUAUCGUAGUCAGUGAGGUUUAUCCGAGGCGCGAUUAUUGCUAAUUAAAAAGGGGAUCAAAUGACAUUCAGAGAAAGAUUCAAAGAGCACCAGUUAUUGAUGUAAAGCAAUACAUGUGAAAUGUGCAUUGUAAUGAAUGCUAAUUAUAAAAAGAGGUCUACCU